CGACCAUAAACGUUUGCUGCCUUCAGGAAUCAGUUGGCAAGUUUUACCUGCUGGCUUUUCUGGAAACAGGAGAGAGAUAACAAAAAUGGCGACAGCACCGGAGACUUCAGCAGGAGGAUGCUAACGUGGCUGAAGAUUAUGUGACGCUAAACAUGGAGUUUAGAGUAAUGCGGAGGAUAAAGAGGAGGACAAGCUGGAUUUAAAAGAGAGAGGAGCUGCACAGAGAGCUGAGAAUAAACAGAGAUAUGAGGAGGAGAGCAGGGCUGGAUUAACUGGAAGAGGAGGUACUCACACACUUCCUCUUGGUCUAAUCAGCCUUAGACAUUCUAAGAAAGGAGGCUCAACCAAUCAGGAAGCAGUAAACAAUGACAGAGAAAAGCCCUCACUCUCUGCUUGAAGAUGUUCCUGCUGAGUUACGGACCCUCUGAUUAAUUUCCUAUAGCAUUUUACAAAGGAGACAUGAAGAAGAAAGAGCCAAAAAACAGGUAUGUGCGCAGUAAUACUAAAUCCUGGUUAACUGUCUGAACGACAUGCCAGUUGUCCUCCAUUUCUGUCUUAAAUCCAGUCCACAAGCUGAAAAGAAAUACUUGUCUGACAUUUCAAAUCAGCCUGAAGUUGCUGUUGAAGCAAGGUCCUGUCAUUAACUGCCCUCAGGACAUUUAUAUAACACACCGUUGAUGUUCUUCACUGUGAUUAUGGAAGCAAGAUUUGAUCUUUGAUUGCUAUUGACGGUGAAGGCCAUCAACAGGAAAUGGGCACUGCGAGUGCUUCAAUCAACUGCAGUAUUUCCAAGAUUUGUUUCUUUAAAAGCCUCUUUUAG
Cheilinus undulatus (humphead wrasse) is the source of this 820-nucleotide long non-coding RNA. RefSeq lists it as uncharacterized. The record is from RefSeq and is a predicted model, not a curated record. Lineage: Eukaryota; Metazoa; Chordata; Actinopteri; Labriformes; Labridae. The transcript has 5 exons.